GCCUGGAUAGAGUACAGUGGCCAGGCAAUUCCUGUCGGCAGAUGAGUUGCCUGUGUGGGCACUCUUGGAUUUCAAAUGGCUUCCAGAGCUUUGAAGUCUAGGGGAAGCACAUGCAGGAGAAACGGUGAUGACACAGACACAAGCCAGGACACUUGAAAGACAACGGGGCCACCUGGAGCCAGGGAAGGCAGGGAGACACCCCUCUGGCCUCUCGGAACAGCCAGCAGGUGCCCAACCCUUUGGUAAGAUCAAAGUCUGGUGCAUGAGUUUCUGAUUUUGUGACUGCUGUUGAAGCCACAAGAAGCUAACCCAUCCUCACAGCCGGCCUCAGACAAAUGCUAGCACUCAGCCAGAGAUGGCGGAGAAAGGAGAAAACCUGCUGUCCACUGUGCGUCUUCAUGAGACCCCAGACUAGGAACAAAGGAGAAGGAGCUGGAGCCGGCAAACACAGCGGAGGAUCCUGGUGUGACUCAGGACCAGUCACCCCGUCACAUGCUCCUUGGUAAUCAGUGUCCAGACACGUGGGUGAUACACCCACCACAGAGGAGCGUCACUUGCUAUCCAAAGGCAUCUAGGUGGUAUAGCCACUAGCAUACCAUGUGGGUGCACACAUAGGCACCCACACCUGCGUACGUACACUCAUGCAUACGCUCACCAACAGCGUGUCUAGGGAUAUUCACUCACCAGUAGCAGGUUGUUCUCCUUGCAUUUUUGGAGGAUUAAUGGCUUGGUGGUGACAAAUUUUGGGGGAAUGGUCAGAUGACAUGUUUCUACAUCCUGUAUAAAGUUCUGGAAGGUAGCUGAAGAGGCUCUGGGAGGGGAGGAUGCUACAGUGUUCUGACUCAGACUGGAGAACACUCACUCAGGGGAGCAGUGAUGUCAAGACAUGUCACAGAGCAGCGCACUGAAGAACCGGUUGUGUGUUGAACUCUGAGCCACGGCCAACACAGACUCGCCGACUUAGAAAACACACGCAAGAACGGAUUUUGAGAGUUUUGAAUCCCUUAGAACCCAAUGGGUCAAUAAGGAUCAAGCUCUGGACAGAAGUGAAGCUCUCACCUGCCAUCUAGGAUGCCAAGACUUUGGCUACCCUGAGGCAUCUAUGUCUAAUACCUAAGCCCCAAAGCAGCAGCUGGUAUUCGGGGCAGGGGUGUUCACUUAGGGACCCUGGAGGCUGGACAGGGACCACAUAGCUGCAGCCAGCAGGGCAGACAAGCCUAGCUGUGUGUGUGUUCUGACAAUGUCACUUCAUGUAGAAACAAACGUCAGGGGGCUGGAGAUGGGGCUCAGUCGGUAGAGUGCUUGCCUGGCAUACAUGAAGCCCUGAGUUCGAUCCCCUGUAGUACACAAACAGGGUGUGGUGGUGCACACAUGUAAUCUCAGACUGAGGAGGUACAGGCAGGAGGGCCCAAGAUUCAAGGUUGUCCUUGGCUACGUACACAGUGAGUUCAGGGCCACAUGAGAUCCUGUCUGCAAACAAACAAUGUCAAAACAAACACGAGUGCCUGAAAAUGUUUUUUUUCAGGGAAUCAGGGGAGAAUAAACAUUAAACUAUAUGAAGACUAUUCA
Long non-coding RNA from Peromyscus eremicus (cactus mouse), 1569 nucleotides. RefSeq lists it as uncharacterized. NCBI's taxonomy places the organism in Eukaryota, Metazoa, Chordata, Mammalia, Rodentia, Cricetidae. The record is from RefSeq and is a predicted model, not a curated record. The transcript has 3 exons.